CCUUUUUCUUUUUCUUUUUUUUUAAAGAUAAUGUCUUGCUCUGUCACCUAGGCUGGAGUGCAGUGGCAUGAUCAUGGCUCACUGCAGCCUCGAACUCUGGGCACAAGAGAGCCUCCUGAGUAGCUAGGACUACAGGAGUGCACCACCAUACCUGGCUAAUUUUUUUUUUGUAUAGAUGGGAUCUUGCUAUGUUGCCCAGGCUGAUCUCAAAUUCCUGGGCUGAAAGGAUCCCUCUGCCUUGGCCUGGCAAAGCGCUGGGAUUACAGGCAUGAACCACUGUGCCCAGAUGACCCCAUCUUUCAAUAGGAGGAACUUUUUAGGGCUGUGUUCUCAUGCCACCACAACCCAGGGGGCCAGAUUAGCUGAGGACGUGUCCUCUAAGCCCUUCUGUGUCCCUUCUGUUUUCAGUUUCUCUUCUCUAUGAGUAUCUCUGUCUCCUUUCCUUGGAGGUGACAGAGGGCACCCAUGUGCCCAGGCUCACCCAGGCAGUGGGUGACACCAGUGGGUGACAAUGUGGAUGGCCCGCCAUGCCAGACACUCACUCCAAUGCCCAUUUUACAGAUGAGAAGACUGAGUACUGAGUGGCCAGGUAGACUGAGCAGGAUCGCAGAGGGAGGAUUUGUUCCUGGGCCAAUCCCCUUGUUUCCCAUCCAUGUUCCCUAUCCUUGGCAACUUGGGGGGGGUUAGGAAUCAAAUACAUGAAUUUGGGGGGGACUUUCUUCAAUCUACAACAGAGGAGGAUCUGCGGGAAUGGGGCCAGGUGAGGAAGGCAGGGGCAGGGGCAGGUGGGGGACAACCGGACCCCUCCAGCAGAUGGAACCAAGUGAACAGGUCUUUCUGGCAGGAGCAGCUCUAGAAGAUUCUUGUUUUGUUUUUUUGGAAUGGAGUCUCGCUCUGUUGCCCAGGCUGUAGUGCAAUGGCAUGAUCUUGCCUCACUGCAGCCUCCGCCUCUCGAGUUCAAGCAAUUCUCCUGCCUCAGCCUCCUGAGUAGCUGGGACUACAGGCACCCGCCACCAAGCCCAGCUAAUUCUUGUAUUUUUAGUAGAGACGUGGGUUUCAUCAUGUUGGCCAGGCUGGUCUCAAACUCCCGACCUCAGGUGAUCCGCCCGCCUCGGCCUCCCAAAAUGCUGGGAUUACAGGUGUGAGCCACUGCGCCUGGCUUAGAAGGUUCUUUAGAGAGUCUCCAUGGCCAUAGAAGCUGGUGUGUGAGUGCCUGUGUGUGUGUGAGUGCCUGUGUGUGUGCCUGUGUGUGUGUGCCUGUAUGUGUGUGUGCCUGUAUGUGUGUGUGCAUCUGUGUGUGUGCCUGUAUGUGUGUGUGCCUCUGUGUGUGUGUGUGUGUGUGUGUAUGAUAGGAUUCCUACCUCGUGCUCCUCUCUGGGGUGAAGGCAGACCAAUACAUGAAGAGAGAGUGGAGGGCAGCCGGGAGGGGGCCUGUCAGGCUUGAUCUUUGUGGGUUUGUUUUUGACUUGACGCUGGCUCUAGAAAUGGAUUGACAUUGGGGUGGGCGUGGGAUGGAGGCUGAUAGGAGAGGGAAGCUUUCAAAGCUGUAGCCAUGGGAAAUGUUUUUAUUUUCUGCUUGAAAGAAAAUGCCAAAGAAGGAUAAAAAGGAAAAAAAGGUGGGGGGAGGUGACUCGCUCUUCAGCAGGCGCCCCCGGGAGCUGAUUUAUUGGCGGUUUAUUUGGAGAAACGCUAUCGCUCUUAGAUUCUGGAGGGGGGAAAAAACACGCUCGCGGUGGACUUUAACCUUGGGCUGAAACCACAGCGCUUUGUUUUCGGAGGUGCUUCCUGGGGCGCCGCGGCAGGGCUGGGGCCUAGCGGGGGAAGCUGGGCCGGAAUGUGGCCCAGCAGCCUCUCCACUCCCAGGCUGCGCUUCUGCCUGCCCGGGCAAGCGCUCAAAUUCCUCUGGGCCCGGCCGGAAGCCCUCGGUCCCUCCAAAAGUGCUUCUAGAAAUUCUAGGAAGGAGCCGAAGCUCCUUGGCUGAGGGCGUCCUUGGAGCGAGGUUUCCAAACCCUCCCAUCCCAAGCCCCCGGCAUGUGCCACCCGCCGUUUGCAGUCGUGUCACUGGCAUGGUGAGGUUUUCGGGAGGCAUCCAUGAAGGGCUGAAUGCUCCGGUUUCCGUGCACCUUAAGUCUGGAGCAAAACCCCGCUGGAGGUGGUUGGCUCCAAUCGCGCCCAUGGUUUGCUUGAUUCCCGCUUUCCCCAUUGCUGAGCCAAAGCUCGCACCAAGGAGGGCUCCAAGCCGGGACCCCGGUUGGAGAAAAUCCUGGGGCAUCCAGCGGCACGGAGGGUGGGAACCAGAUGAGCCUCCGCCUCCGCGCACGGUGCCCACAGUCACACCCCCCGUUGGUCCACCUGUGCCAAAAAAAAAAAAAAAAAAAAAAAAAAAGGCCCUUCAUGCGCCCGCAGAGGGCUCUGAGGAGGCACGAGAUGAAGGCAGGGUCCGCGGAGAGGUGGCAAGCUGAAUUCUGAGAAGCCGCUCUGACCCUGACCCUGGGGUCACCCCUCCGUGGUGCAGGUGGCACCGGAGUUGGGCUCGAGCGGAGAGCCGCAUGCCCAUCCCAGUCUCACCGAGCCUUCCUAGGAGGAAAUGCCAGGCCCGGGCGCCCCUACCCCAAGGCGGUGAUCCUGUGAAGCUCGGGCCACCUCAGGGUCCAGCGCCCUCAGAGAUGGAUGGUGUUGACACCGAGGAACGAGGCCGUUCCCUCUCUUUGGUGAACGGAGAAGCUCCUGGCGUGGUUCCCUGCGCAGUCUCCGGGUCCCCAGGCCGUGAUGGGGUGAGCAGGGUGCGCGGCGUGGCCCGGGACACGAGACCGGCCCGGAGCACCCCGGCGUGAGCAGCGGGAAGGAGGGCCCGCCCGGAGAUUUAUGGCCGCAGCCGGCCCCCUGUGCACUGAGCGCGUCUCGGUCCUUUCCCAGCCAAACAGUGGAGUGGAGGACC
RNAcentral lists this long non-coding RNA (2938 nucleotides) under Homo sapiens (human). RNAcentral describes it as "non-protein coding lnc-FBXL18-1:7". Lineage: Eukaryota; Metazoa; Chordata; Mammalia; Primates; Hominidae. The record is from RNAcentral.